Molecule: ribosomal RNA, 2913 nt
Filed under: Clostridium perfringens
Lineage: Bacteria; Bacillati; Bacillota; Clostridia; Eubacteriales; Clostridiaceae
Description: bacterial LSU rRNA
Rfam family: Bacterial large subunit ribosomal RNA
Source: RNAcentral
AUAUAGGUCAAGCUACAAAGGGCGCAUGGUGAAUGCCUUGGCAUCAGGAGCCGAUGAAGGACGUGAUAAGCUGCGAUAAGCUUCGGGUAGGCGCACAUAGCCUGAGAUCCGAAGAUCUCCGAAUGAGGAAACUCACAUGGGAAACCCCAUGUAUCAUUAAGUGAAUACAUAGCUUAAUGAAGGUAACCCAGGGAACUGAAACAUCUAAGUACCUGGAGGAAGAGAAAGAAAAAUCGAUUUUCUUAGUAGCGGCGAGCGAAAGGGAAAGAGCCCAAACCGGAAACUUGUUUCCGGGGUUGUGGACAUAACAUAAAAGUGGAGGCUAUUGUAACUGAAGAGAACUGGAAAGUUCCACCGUAGAAGGUAAUAGUCCUGUAAGUGAAACGAGAAGACCACGAGUUAUGAUCCAGAGUACCACGAGACACGUGAAACCUUGUGGGAAGCAGGGAGGACCACCUCCCAAGGCUAAAUACUACCUGAUGACCGAUAGUGAAGCAGUACCGUGAGGGAAAGGUGAAAAGAACCCCGGGAGGGGAGUGAAAUAGAAUCUGAAACCGUGUGCCUACAACCGCUCAGAGCCCCUUAUGAGGGUGAUGAGGUGCUUUUUGUAGAACGAGCCAACGAGUUACGGUAUGUAGCAAGGUUAAGUACUUAAGGUACGGAGCCGAAGGGAAACCGAGUCUGAAUAGGGCGACUAGUUGCAUGCCGUAGACCCGAAACCGGGUGACCUAUCCAUGGCCAGGUUGAAGCGAGGGUAAAACCUCGUGGAGGACCGAACCACGUUGCUGUUGAAAAAGCAUGGGAUGAGCUGUGGAUAGCGGAGAAAUUCCAAUCGAACCCGGAGAUAGCUGGUUCUCUCCGAAAUAGCUUUAGGGCUAGCGUCGAGUAUGAGUAGUGGAGGUAGAGCACUGAAUGGGCUAGGGGGCAUAGCGCUUACCGAACCUUAUCAAACUCCGAAUGCCACAUACUUUGAGCUCGGCAGUCAGACUACGAAUGAUAAGAUCCGUGGUCAAAAGGGAAAAAGCCCAGAUCGUCAGCUAAGGUCCCAAAGUGUAAGUUAAGUGGGAAAGGAUGUGAGAUUUCUAAGACAACUAGGAUGUUGGCUUAGAAGCAGCCAUUCAUUAAAAGAGUGCGUAAUAGCUCACUAGUCGAGAGAUCUUGCGCCGAAAAUGUAACGGGGCUAAACUUACCACCGAAGCUACGGGCUUGAACUUAGUUCAAGCGGUAGGAGAGCGUCGUAACCGGGCUGAAGUCGUACCGUAAGGAGCGGUGGACUGGUUACGAGUGAGAAUGUUGGCAUCAGUAGCGAGAUGUGGGUGAGAAUCCCACAGGCCGAAAACCUAAGGUUUCCUCAGGAAGGUUCGUCCGCUGAGGGUUAGUCGGGACCUAAGCCGAGGCCGAAAGGCGUAGGUGAUGGACAACUGGUUGAUAUUCCAGUACCACUACCAUCGUUAUUAUCGAUGGCGUGACGCAGGAGGAUAGUGUGUGCUAGCUAUUGGAUGCUAGUCUAAGCGUUUAGGCAGUGAGAGUAGGCAAAUCCGCUCUUAUAAUGCUGAGGCGUGAUGGGGAAGGUUCUACGGAACCGAAGUACAUGAUUCCACGCUGCCAAGAAAAGCGUCUAGAGAGAGAAGUAGUGCCCGUACCGCAAACCGACACAGGUAGGUGAGGAGAGAAUCCUAAGGCCGGCGGAAGAAUUACAGUUAAGGAACUCGGCAAAUUGACCCCGUAAGUUCGCGAGAAGGGGUGCCUACGAGAGUAGGCCGCAGAGAAUAGGCCCAAGCAACUGUUUAGCAAAAACACAGGUCUCUGCUAAAGCGUAAGCUGAUGUAUAGGGGCUGACGCCUGCCCGGUGCUGGAAGGUUAAGGGGAACACUUAGCGCAAGCGAAGGUGUGAACUUAAGCCCCAGUAAACGGCGGCCGUAACUAUAACGGUCCUAAGGUAGCGAAAUUCCUUGUCAGGUAAGUUCUGACCCGCACGAAUGGCGUAAUGACUUGGGCACUGUCUCAACUGUAAAUCCGGCGAAGUUGUAGUGCGAGUGAAGAUGCUCGCUACCCGCGAUUGGACGGAAAGACCCCGUAGAGCUUUACUGUAGCUUAGCAUUGAGUUUUGGUAUUGUCUGUACAGGAUAGGUGGGAGACUAGGAAACCAGGGCGUCAGCCUUGGUGGAGUCAACCUUGGGAUACCACCCUGACAGUACUGAAAUUCUAACUGGCGGCCAUGAAUCUGGUCACAGGACAUUGUUAGGUGGGCAGUUUGACUGGGGCGGUCGCCUCCUAAAAAGUAACGGAGGCGCCCAAAGGUUCCCUCAGAACGGUCGGAAAUCGUUCGAAGAGUGCAAAGGCAGAAGGGAGCCUGACUGCAACACCCACAAGUGGAGCAGGGACGAAAGUCGGGCUUAGUGAUCCGGUGGUACCUCGUGGGAGGGCCAUCGCUCAACGGAUAAAAGCUACCUCGGGGAUAACAGGCUGAUCUCCCCCAAGAGUCCACAUCGACGGGGAGGUUUGGCACCUCGAUGUCGGCUCGUCGCAUCCUGGGGCUGAAGUAGGUCCCAAGGGUUGGGCUGUUCGCCCAUUAAAGCGGCACGCGAGCUGGGUUCAGAACGUCGUGAGACAGUUCGGUCCCUAUCCGUCGCGGGCGUAGGAAAUUUGAGAGGAGCUGUCCUUAGUACGAGAGGACCGGGAUGGACUGACCUCUGGUGUACCAGUUGUUCCGCCAGGAGCACAGCUGGGUAGCUAAGUCGGGAAUGGAUAAACGCUGAAAGCAUCUAAGCGUGAAGCCAACCUCAAGAUGAGAUUUCCCAUAGCGUAAGCUAGUAAGAUCCCUUGAAGAACACAAGGUUGAUAGGUCGGGGGUGUAAGCGUGGUAACAUGUUCAGCUGACCGAUACUAAUAGAUCGAGGGCUUGACCAAAUA